RNAcentral lists this ribosomal RNA (406 nucleotides) under uncultured Actinomycetes bacterium. RNAcentral's name for it is "bacterial SSU rRNA". It matches the Rfam family "Bacterial small subunit ribosomal RNA", at positions 9 to 416 of the family's 1533-position model. The record is from RNAcentral. Lineage: Bacteria; Bacillati; Actinomycetota; Actinomycetes.
GAGUUUGAUCCUGGCUCAGGACGAACGCUGGCGGCGUGCUUAACACAUGCAAGUCGAGCGGAAAGGCCCUUUCGGGGGUACUCGAGCGGCGAACGGGUGAGUAACACGUGAGUAACCUGCCCCAGUCUUUGGGAUAACCCUCGGAAACGAGGCUAAUACCGGAUAUGACAUUCCACCGCAUGGUGUGGGUGUGGAAAGUUUUUCGGUCUGGGAUGGGGCUCGCGGCCUAUCAGCUUGUUGGUGGGGUGAUGGCCUACCAAGGCGACGACGGGUAGCCGGCCUGAGAGGGCGACCGGCCACACUGGGACUGAGGACACGGCCCAGACUCCUACGGGAGGCAGCAGUGGGGAAUAUUGCACAAUGGGCGGAAGCCUGAUGCAGCGACGCCGCGUGAGGGAUGACGGCC